GGGUUGUGAGGUUAAGCGACUAAGCGUACACGGUGGAUGCCCUGGCAGUCAGAGGCGAUGAAGGACGUGCUAAUCUGCGAAAAGCGUCGGUAAGGUGAUAUGAACCGUUAUAGCCGGCGAUGUCCGAAUGGGGAAACCCAGUGCAAUUCGUUGCACUAUCGUUAACUGAAUACAUAGGUUAACGAGGCGAACCGGGGGAACUGAAACAUCUAAGUACCCCGAGGAAAAGAAAUCAACCGAGAUUCCCCCAGUAGCGGCGAGCGAACGGGGAGCAGCCCAGAGUCUGAAUCAGCUUGUGUGUUAGUGGAACGGUCUGGAAAGUCCGACGGUACAGGGUGAUAGUCCCGUACACCAAAAUGCACAGGUUGUGAACUCGAAGAGUAGGGCGGGACACGUGGUAUCCUGUCUGAAUAUGGGGCGACCAUCCUCCAAGGCUAAAUACUCCUGACUGACCGAUAGUGAACCAGUACCGUGAGGGAAAGGCGAAAAGAACCCCGGCGAGGGGAGUGAAAAAGAACCUGAAACCGUGUACGUACAAGCAGUGGGAGCACCUUCGGGUGUGACUGCGUACCUUUUGUAUAAUGGGUCAGCGACUUAUAUUCUGUAGCAAGGUUAACCGUAUAGGGGAGCCGCAGGGAAACCGAGUCUUAACUGGGCGUUAAGUUGCAGGGUAUAGACCCGAAACCCGGUGAUUCAGCCAUGGGCAGGUUGAAGGUUGGGUAACACUAACUGGAGGACCGAACCGACUAAUGUUGAAAAAUUAGCGGAUGACUUGUGGCUGGGGGUGAAAGGCCAAUCAAACCGGGAGAUAGCUGGUUCUCCCCGAAAGCUAUUUAGGUAGCGCCUCGUGAAUUCAUCUUCGGGGGUAGAGCACUGUUUCGGCUAGGGGCCAUGCCGACUUACCAACCCGAUGCAAACUACGAAUACCGAAGAAUGUUAUCACGGGAGACACACGGCGGGUGCUAACGUCCGUCGUGAAGAGGGAAACAACCCAGACCGCCAGCUAAGGUCCCAAAGUCAUGGUUAAGUGGGAAACGAUGUGGGAAGGCACAGACAGCCGGGAUGUUGGCUUAGAAGCAGCCAUCAUUUAAAGAAAGCGUAAUAGCUCACUGGUCGAGUCGGCCUGCGCGGAAGAUGUAACGGGGCUAAACCAUGCACCGAAGCUGCGGCAGCGACACUAUGUGUUGUUGGGUAGGGGAGCGUUCUGUAAGCCUGCGAAGGUGUGCUGUGAGGCAUGCUGGAGGUAUCAGAAGUGCGAAUGCUGACAUAAGUAACGAUAAAGCGGGUGAAAAGCCCGCUCGCCGGAAGACCAAGGGUUCCUGUCCAACGUUAAUCGGGGCAGGGUGAGUCGCCCCCUAAGGCGAGGCCGAAAGGCGUAGUCGAUGGGAAACAGGUUAAUAUUCCUGUACUUGGUGUUACUGCGAAGGGGACGGAGAAGGCUAUGUUAGCCGGGCGACGGUUGUCCCGGUUUAAGCAUGUAGGCUGGUUGUCCAGGCAAAUCCGGAUAAUCAAGGCUGAGGUGUGAUGACGAGGCACUACGGUGCUGAAGUAACAAAUGCCCUGCUUCCAGGAAAAGCCUCUAAGCAUCAGGUAACAUUAAAUCGUACCCCAAACCGACACAGGUGGUCAGGUAGAGAAUACCAAGGCGCUUGAGAGAACUCGGGUGAAGGAACUAGGCAAAAUGGUGCCGUAACUUCGGGAGAAGGCACGCUGGUGUGUAGGUGAAGUCCCUGCGGAUGGAGCUGAGACCAGUCGAAGAUACCAGCUGGCUGCAACUGUUUAUUAAAAACACAGCACUGUGCAAACACGAAAGUGGACGUAUACGGUGUGACGCCUGCCCGGUGCCGGAAGGUUAAUUGAUGGGGUUAUCCGUAAGGAGAAGCUCUUGAUCGAAGCCCCGGUAAACGGCGGCCGUAACUAUAACGGUCCUAAGGUAGCGAAAUUCCUUGUCGGGUAAGUUCCGACCUGCACGAAUGGCGUAAUGAUGGCCAGGCUGUCUCCACCCGAGACUCAGUGAAAUUGAACUCGCUGUGAAGAUGCAGUGUACCCGCGGCAAGACGGAAAGACCCCGUGAACCUUUACUAUAGCUUGACACUGAACAUUGAGCCUUGAUGUGUAGGAUAGGUGGGAGGCUUUGAAGCGUGGACGCCAGUCUGCGUGGAGCCAACCUAGAAAUACCACCCUUUAAUGUUUGAUGUUCUAACGUUGGCCCCUUACCGGGGUUGCGGACAGUGUCUGGUGGGUAGUUUGACUGGGGCGGUCUCCUCCCAAAGCGUAACGGAGGAGCACGAAGGUUAGCUAAUCCUGGUCGGACAUCAGGAGGUUAGUGCAAUGGCAUAAGCUAGCUUGACUGCGAGCGUGACGGCGCGAGCAGGUGCGAAAGCAGGUCAUAGUGAUCCGGUGGUUCUGAAUGGAAGGGCCAUCGCUCAACGGAUAAAAGGUACUCCGGGGAUAACAGGCUGAUACCGCCCAAGAGUUCAUAUCGACGGCGGUGUUUGGCACCUCGAUGUCGGCUCAUCACAUCCUGGGGCUGAAGUAGGUCCCAAGGGUAUGGCUGUUCGCCAUUUAAAGUGGUACGCGAGCUGGGUUUAGAACGUCGUGAGACAGUUCGGUCCCUAUCUGCCGUGGGCGCUGGAGAAUUGAGGGGGGCUGCUCCUAGUACGAGAGGACCGGAGUGGACGCAUCACUGGUGUUCGGGUUGUCAUGCCAAUGGCACUGCCCGGUAGCUAAAUGCGGAAGAGAUAAGUGCUGAAAGCAUCUAAGCACGAAACUUGCCCCGAGAUGAGUUCUCCCUGAGACUUUAAGUCUCCUGAAGGAACGUUGAAGACGACGACGUUGAUAGGCCGGGUGUGUAAGCGCAGCGAUGCGUUGAGCUAACCGGUACUAAUGAACCGUGAGGCUUAACCUUACAACGCCGAAG
This 2920-nucleotide ribosomal RNA is filed under the name Klebsiella pneumoniae. Its description in RNAcentral is "bacterial LSU rRNA". It matches the Rfam family "Bacterial large subunit ribosomal RNA". Lineage: Bacteria; Pseudomonadati; Pseudomonadota; Gammaproteobacteria; Enterobacterales; Enterobacteriaceae. The record is from RNAcentral.